CUACUGUCUAUUUUUUUUUUUUCCUUCCCCAUAAGCCUAAGGUGUGGGGAAGGCUCCCUCUCUGGAGGAGCAGGUCGGAAGACCUCCGUGCAAAAGCAGGGACCCCCCUGGCUGACCCUGUUCUCCCUCUGCAAAAUAAAGGAACCCCACGGGUGCAGAACCGUGCCACUGUACCCAUAAGACAGCCCCGAGGCUCCUGGCAGAACCUACCGGGAAUUACAUAGCAAGAUGGCUUUCCCUACUCCAUCGUGGCUAGAGCCUCUGCAAGGGCUGAAGCCCUUUGAUCUUGGCUUCAUUUGAAUACAUUUCAAGGGCCUUACUGGCUUUGGGCAAGUGCUGAAGUUCACUCAUUUUCUAUUGGUUGUUUCUCCCCAUGAAAGACAUUGAACAUAAGUGGUGUGGAAUAAUGUUAAGCUUCUCUGAUGGGUCCUAAAUGGUUGAAGAACACCCCUCAAGAGAUGGGAAGAUUCUAAGAGCCAGAGAGAAUGGAUUACUCCAAGGCAACACAAUGGGACUGAUGACCACAUGAACUCUUAGAGACUGUAGCAGCUUGCACCAGGCCUGU
RNAcentral lists this long non-coding RNA (565 nucleotides) under Mus spretus (western wild mouse). Its description in RNAcentral is "lncRNA (ENSMSPG00010029265.1)". Lineage: Eukaryota; Metazoa; Chordata; Mammalia; Rodentia; Muridae. The record is from RNAcentral.